CCUACGGGGGGCAGCAGUGGGGAAUAUUGGACAAUGGGGGCAACCCUGAUCCAGCCAUGCCGCGUGUGUGAAGAAGGCCCUCGGGUUGUAAAGCACUUUCAGUGAGGAAGAACGCCUGGUGGUUAAUACCCAUCAGGAAAGACAUCACUCACAGAAGAAGCACCGGCUAACUCCGUGCCAGCAGCCGCGGUAAUACGGAGGGUGCGAGCGUUAAUCGGAAUUACUGGGCGUAAAGCGCGCGUAGGUGGCUUGAUAAGCCGGUUGUGAAAGCCCCGGGCUCAACCUGGGAAUGGCAUCCGGAACUGUCAAGCUAGAGUGCAGGAGAGGAAGGUAGAAUUCCCGGUGUAGCGGUGAAAUGCGUAGAGAUCGGGAGGAAUACCAGUGGCGAAGGCGGCCUUCUGGACUGACACUGACACUGAGGUGCGAAAGCGUGGGUAGCAAACAGGAUUAGAUACCCCAGUAGUC
RNAcentral lists this ribosomal RNA (465 nucleotides) under Vreelandella stevensii. RNAcentral describes it as "partial 16S ribosomal RNA". It matches the Rfam family "Bacterial small subunit ribosomal RNA", at positions 338 to 795 of the family's 1533-position model. Lineage: Bacteria; Pseudomonadati; Pseudomonadota; Gammaproteobacteria; Oceanospirillales; Halomonadaceae. The record is from RNAcentral.